UACGAAGGGUGCAAGCGUUAAUCGGAAUUACUGGGCGUAAAGCGCGCGUAGGCGGGUCUUUAAGUCUGGUGUGAAAGGUUGAGGGCUCAACCCCAACAGUGCACUGGAUACUGCAGACCUUGAGUUGGGCAGAGGAGAGUGGAAUUCCUGGUGUAGCGGUGAAAUGCGUAGAUAUCAGGAGGAACACCGAUGGCGAAGGCAGCUCUCUGGGCCCUAACUGACGCUGAGGUGCGAAAGCGUGGGGAGCGAACGGGAUUAGAAACCCGAGUAGU
RNAcentral lists this ribosomal RNA (272 nucleotides) under uncultured bacterium. RNAcentral's name for it is "partial 16S ribosomal RNA". It matches the Rfam family "Bacterial small subunit ribosomal RNA", at positions 524 to 794 of the family's 1533-position model. The record is from RNAcentral.